Oncorhynchus tshawytscha (Chinook salmon) is the source of this 2040-nucleotide long non-coding RNA. The record is from Ensembl. NCBI's taxonomy places the organism in Eukaryota, Metazoa, Chordata, Actinopteri, Salmoniformes, Salmonidae.
ACCUCAAGGUAAAGGAUGAACCAUGACCUCAGGGUAAAGGAUGAACCAUGACCCCAGGGUAAAGGAUGAACUAUGACCUCAGGGUAAAGGAUGAACUAUGACCUCAGGGUACAGAAGGUUCCUCUCUUUGCAUUUAUUUUUUUCAAUUCCGACAAAAAUGGAAGAAAAAAAGUCCAGUUGAACGCAGCUCCAGACGAGUCUUGGGUUACGAUUGUCUCUUAGAUAUGAAGUAUACAUACACCAACACCUGUAAGUCCAUGUUUGGGUCCCAAAUGGCACCCUAUUCCCUAUGUAGUGCACUACUUUUGACCAGGGCCCUAUGGCCAAUGGCACCCUAUUCCCUAUGUAGUGCACUACUUUAGACCAGGGCCCUAUGGCCAAUGGCACCCUAUUCCCUAUGUAGUGCACUACUUUCGACCAGGGCCCUAUGGCCAAUGGCACCCUAUUCCCUAUGUAGUGCACUACUUUCGACCAGGGCCCAUUUGGGAGACAGCCUAUAAGUCCUAUCAAGAUAGAUAGAUAGUCCUCUAUCUAUUUUAGUGUGCCCAAAAGCCUGUUUUAGCAUGGACAGUAACAUUGAGGACUUUCACCAUUUUGAAGUAGUCAACUGGGCAGGACAUCCUGUGGGUUAAGGAAGGAUCACAUAAUUCCAUCGAGGUCACAAGGUGUGGGGGCAGUGAAUCACCAACCUUGGCUUUGUGCCUGUUUAAAUAACACCCUCCAGGUGGCUGUGAAUCGCCAACCUUGGCUUUGUGCCUGUUUAAAUAACACCCUCCAGGUGGCUGUGAAUCGCCAACCUUGGCUUUGUGCCUGUUUAAAUAACACCCUCCAGGUGGCUGUGAAUCGCCAACCUUGGCUUUGUGCCUGUUUAAAUAACACCCUCCAGGUGGCAGUACGCACCCUUUCAGUUUAUUUACCAACUCAUAGAAGGAGUAGAAGAAGAAAAAAUGAACUACUUCAAAAUGGAGAUGGCCACAGUCUGUGCAUUAUGGUCGUCUGUGCGCUCACAGACACCAUAAUGGGACAGAAUACAAUGUUGGCGAUCUCUUAACAUCUCUAUGGUGGCAGGAAUCAACGUGACCUUUAACCUCUAUAUUGGGUUAUUUUCUUUCUUGAUGCUCAGACUGUGGAUCCAAAUAAAGUGUUCCAGUGUGUUCUUGCUCCAGAAUCCCCUAUAGGUACAGAUCUAGGAUCAGCUUCCCCCUCCCCCAAUCCUAACCUUAACUAUUAGUGGGGGUGGUGGGGGGGGGACAAUGUUAAACUGACCCAAGAUCAGUGUCUAGGGGAAACUUCACCCGUCUCCAUGUUUAAUAGUCCAAUGGAGUCCGAAAGAGCAUUGUUUAUUGUUUUGCAUGUGCUGGCCGGUGGGUGUUACAGUGUGUGUUACAGUCUUAAUAGUCCGUAGUGCUACAAAAGAGCUGUUAAAAGAAGGUUCCCCCUGGUGGCAGUGGUCUCCAUGUACAAAGGCUACAGGUCAUGAAGACUGAACGGCUGCAUUCCAAAUGGCAACCUAUUCCCUAUGUAGUGCACUACUUUUGACCAGAGCCCUUUGUGCAGUAUAAAGGGAAUAGGUUGCCAUUUGGGACACAACCCAUGGCCUUGGUUGGGGCGAGGCAGACACUGCCUCGGGUGUCAGGGCCUUGGUUGGGGCGAGGCAGACACUGCCUCGGGUGUCAGGGCCUUGGUUGGGGCGAGGCAGACACUGCCUCGGGUGUCAGGGCCUUGGUUGGGGCGAGGCAGACGCUGCCUCGGGUGUCAGGGCAGGUGACAUCACUUUGUUCCACGGUGGGAAAAUGUUUACUAGCUAGCUACCUCACACCUGCAACACUUCCUCCAUCGCUCUUCCCCCAUCUCUCCUCCUCUUCCUCCACCUCUCCUCAUCCGCCAUCUCUCCUCCUCUUCCUCCAUCUCUCCUCCUCUUCCUUCAUCUCUCCUCCCCUUCCUCCAUCUCUCCUCCUCUUCCUCCAUCUCUCCUCCUCUUCCUCCAUCUCUCCUCCUCUUCCUCCAUCUCUCCUCCUCUUCCUCCAUCUCUCCUCCUCU